CUAACUUCCUCACUCUUACUUUUCUCUCUCCUUGCCCUCUCUACUUUCAGUAUAUAAACCACACUUGCUUCCCCUCACUAUCCCCACUUCUCCUCCAUUUUCUAGACCGGAAACAUCCAACGGCCACUACCAGUUUCUGUAUCUCCACAACAAAAAUGAGUUCGGCAUCUUCUCUAUACUACGCUGGAUGUAAGGAUAACUACUAUCAAUCCCAUUUUCUUGAUUCUUGCUUUCUUUGCAACAGACCACUUGGCCACAACAGUGACAUCUUCAUGUACAGGUUAGCAAAGAAUUUAAUAAACUGUUGAAGACUCAUUAUUUUGUGCUUAAAACUCUUGUUAGCAAGCUAUACUAAACAAGAAUUUAACCUUUUUUUCUUCAGUAGUGUCGCGUAUUUAUGGAUGGUUCGAUUUCGCUUUCGGGACUUGAAAAAGUAUCUGAUAUGAAUUGAAAUAUUGCGUUGCAGAGGGAAUACACCAUUUUGUAGCCAAGAGUGCAGGCAAGAGCAGAUAAAAACAGAUGAAGCCAACGAAAAAAGAUGGAAAAUUUCUUCCUCAUCAAAGAAAAGCAAUCACUCCACCACAGCUAAAGAAAAUGAUGCCAAGAAACCUGUACGGACAGGAACAGUUGCAGUUUCUUAAAUACAAAAUAUUAACAAGAAAAUAAUUAGUAAUGUUCUAAUAUCCAAGGUAUCUGGUGCAGCUGUAAACAGAUGGAGCCAUGGAGGCAGGCACCAGAACAAGAGAGAGUCCAUGUCCCAUGGCUAUCAGUAUCACACAAUUUUGAUCUUUCUUUAUAUAAUAAUUAUUAAUGGCCUUUUGAUGCUUAUAUAAAUCAGUGGCCUUUAAUUGGGAUGCCAUCAACUAUAAGGUCUUUGUAACGAUGUUUUUAUCUGAAUGAUAAUCUGAGAAAAUGAAGGCACAAAUCAUAAGAUUUUUGCACCUAACUAUUUAUUUGUUGGAAUCAUGUUACUAUCAAAAUAAAAUUACAAGUUU
Molecule: long non-coding RNA, 995 nt
Filed under: Olea europaea subsp. europaea
Lineage: Eukaryota; Viridiplantae; Streptophyta; Magnoliopsida; Lamiales; Oleaceae
Source: RNAcentral